RNAcentral lists this ribosomal RNA (137 nucleotides) under uncultured bacterium. RNAcentral describes it as "partial 16S ribosomal RNA". It matches the Rfam family "Bacterial small subunit ribosomal RNA", at positions 355 to 509 of the family's 1533-position model. The record is from RNAcentral.
UGGGGAAUAUUGCACAAUGGGGGAAACCCUGAUGCAGCGACGCCGCGUGAGUGAAGAAGUAUUUCGGUAUGUAAAGCUCUAUCAGUAGGGAAGAAAAUGACGGUACCUGACUAAGAAGCCCCGGCUAACUACGUGCC